Agrilus planipennis (emerald ash borer) is the source of this 202-nucleotide long non-coding RNA. RefSeq lists it as uncharacterized. The record is from RefSeq and is a predicted model, not a curated record. NCBI's taxonomy places the organism in Eukaryota, Metazoa, Arthropoda, Insecta, Coleoptera, Buprestidae. The transcript has 2 exons.
CUGACCGAAAUUUUAAUAUUGCUGUACCAGUUAGUUUGGAAUUUCUCUUGAUUGAUUACAAAUAUUCGGCAAAAUUCAUGGGCCUUGGACCUCAAGGUACAAUUAACGCCAGAAUAACAGGCAUUGAUUUUCUCUUAAACUUGGGACUGAACUCAGAAACUAAUGAUUUCACACUGAACAGUAUCGACAUUCAAAACACAGG